This 555-nucleotide long non-coding RNA is filed under the name Phoenix dactylifera (date palm). RNAcentral describes it as "long non-coding RNA (PDAC_LNC007243)". The record is from RNAcentral. Lineage: Eukaryota; Viridiplantae; Streptophyta; Magnoliopsida; Arecales; Arecaceae.
UCACUUAUUCUAUGUUUUGCAGUGCAAGUGUAGAUGGAAGGGUUUUUGUAUGGAAGAUUGAUGAGGGACCUGAUGAGGACAAUAAGCCACAGAUAACUGGAAAAAUCAUAAUUGCUGUUCAGAUUGUAGGAGAUGGAGAAUCCUGUCAUCCACGAAUCUGUUGGCACUCUNNNNNNNNNNNNNNNNNNNNGUCAGUGCAAGUGUAGAUGGAAGGGUUUUGUAUGGAAGAUUGAUGAGGGACCUGAUGAGGACAAUAAGCCACAGAUAACUGGAAAAAUCAUAAUUGCUGUUCAGAUUGUAGGAGAUGGAGAAUCCUGUCAUCCACGAAUCUGUUGGCACUCUCACAAACAAGUAAAAGCUAUCAUUUGUUUUAGUGCUAUCUCAUGGAUGCUUUCUUAAAUGGCUUUAUUUCAAUAUAUAUACUCAAUCCCUAUCUUCUCCAUUGUCUAUUUAGCUUGGAAAGUUGCAUCUACUAUUGAAUUUUCUGCUACGAUGGAAUGUCUGCAGUGUUAUAUAUCAAGCUCAUACUUCUGGUCAUCAAUAACUAUUCUGCAG